GACGAACGCUGGCGGCGUGCUUAACACAUGCAAGACGAGCGGAGCGGCGUACGGGUGAGUAACGCGUGGGUAACUGCCCCCCUCCCUGGGAUAACAGUUGGAAACGGCUGCUAAUCCCGGAUAGUGGGGGAUGACUCGGGUUCUAUCAGCUUGUUGGUGGGGUAGUGGCCUACCAAGGCGACGACGGGUGGCCGGCCUGAGAGGGCGACCGGCCACAUUGGGCUGGGAUACGGGCCGAAGUCCUUCGGGGGGCAGCAAUGGGGCAUAGAGCGCGAUGGGGGAAGCCCUGAUGCAGCAACGCCGCGUGGUGGAUGACUGUCUUCGGAUUGUAACCCUCUUUCAGCCAGGACGCGGUAGUUGCAGAAGAAGCACCGGCUAACUACGUGCCAGCCGCCGCGGUAAUUC
This 405-nucleotide ribosomal RNA is filed under the name uncultured bacterium. RNAcentral describes it as "partial 16S ribosomal RNA". It matches the Rfam family "Bacterial small subunit ribosomal RNA", at positions 28 to 526 of the family's 1533-position model. The record is from RNAcentral.